RNAcentral lists this ribosomal RNA (280 nucleotides) under uncultured bacterium. RNAcentral describes it as "partial 16S ribosomal RNA". It matches the Rfam family "Bacterial small subunit ribosomal RNA", at positions 397 to 669 of the family's 1533-position model. The record is from RNAcentral.
CCGCGUGUGUGAAGAAGGUCUUCGGAUUGUAAAGCACUUUAAGCUGGGAGGAAGGGCAGUAAGUUAAUACCUUGCUGCUUUGACGUUACCAGCAGAAUAAGCACCGGCUAACUUCGUGCCAGCAGCCGCGGUAAUACGAAGGGUGCAAGCGUUAAUCGGAAUUACUGGGCGUAAAGCGCGCGUAGGUGGUUCAGCAAGUUGGAUGUGAAAGCCCCGGGCUCAACCUGGGAACUGCAUCCAAAACUACUGAGCUAGAGUAUGGUAGAGGGUGGUGGAAUUU